UACGAAGGGGGCUAGCGUUGCUCGGAAUUACUGGGCGUAAAGCGCACGUAGGCGGAUCCUUAAGUCGGUGGUGAAAUCCUGAAGCUCAACUUCAGAACUGCCUUCGAUACUGGGGACCUUGAGUUCGGGAGAGGUGAGUGGAACUGCGAGUGUAGAGGUGAAAUUCGUAGAUAUUCGCAAGAACACCAGUGGCGAAGGCGGCUCACUGGCCCGAUACUGACGCUGAGGCACGAAAGCGUGGGGAGCAAACAGG
Molecule: ribosomal RNA, 253 nt
Filed under: uncultured bacterium
Lineage: Bacteria
Description: partial 16S ribosomal RNA
Rfam family: Bacterial small subunit ribosomal RNA
Source: RNAcentral